RNAcentral lists this ribosomal RNA (468 nucleotides) under uncultured bacterium. RNAcentral describes it as "partial 16S ribosomal RNA". It matches the Rfam family "Bacterial small subunit ribosomal RNA", at positions 28 to 507 of the family's 1533-position model. The record is from RNAcentral.
GACGAACGCUGGCGGCGUGCUUAACACAUGCAAGUCGAACGGAAAGGCCCUGCUUUUGUGGGGUGCUCGAGUGGCGAACGGGUGAGUAACACGUGAGUAACCUGCCCUUGACGUUGGGAUAACUUCAGGAAACUGGGGCUAAUACCGGAUAUGAGCUCCUGCUGCAUGGUGGGGGUUGGAUAGUUUCGGCGGUUGGGGAUGGACUCGCGGCUUAUCAGCUUGUUGGUGGGGUAGUGGCUUACCAAGGCUUUGACGGGUAGCCGGCCUGAGAGGGUGACCGGCCACAUUGGGACUAAGAUAGGGACCAGACUCCUACGGGAGGCAGCAGUGGGGAAUAUUGCACAAUGGGCGGAAGCCUGAUGCAGCAACGCCGCGUGCGGGAUGACGGCCUUCGGGUUGUAAACCGCUUUCGCCUGUGACGAAGCGUGAGUGACGGUAAUGGGUAAAGAAGCACCGGCUAACUACGUG